UACAGCGGGUGCGAGCGUUAAUCGGAAUUACUGGGCGUAAAGCGUGCGUAGACGGCUAUCUAAGUCGGGUGUGAAAGCCCCGGGCUCAACCUGGGAAUUGCAUUCGAGACUGAAUAGCUAGGGUACGGUAGAGGGAAGUGGAAUUUCCGGUGUAGCGGUGAAAUGCGUAGAUAUCGGAAGGAACAUCAGUGGCGAAAGCGACUUCCUGGACCAGUACCGACGUUCAGGCACGAAAGCGUGGGGAGCAAACAGG
This 253-nucleotide ribosomal RNA is filed under the name uncultured bacterium. Its description in RNAcentral is "partial 16S ribosomal RNA". It matches the Rfam family "Bacterial small subunit ribosomal RNA", at positions 524 to 776 of the family's 1533-position model. The record is from RNAcentral.